This 182-nucleotide ribosomal RNA is filed under the name uncultured Bacteroidota bacterium. RNAcentral's name for it is "uncultured Bacteroidetes bacterium partial 16S ribosomal RNA". It matches the Rfam family "Bacterial small subunit ribosomal RNA", at positions 343 to 525 of the family's 1533-position model. The record is from RNAcentral. Lineage: Bacteria; Pseudomonadati; Bacteroidota.
GGGAGGCAGCAGUGAGGAAUAUUGGUCAAUGGGCGCAAGCUGAACCAGCCAUCCGCGUGCAGGAUGACGGUCCUAUGGAUUGUAACUGCUUUUGUACAGGAAGAAACACUCCCUCGUGAGGGAGCUUGACGGUACUGUAAGAAUAAGGAUCGGCUAACUCCGUGCCAGCAGCCGCGGUAAUA